RNAcentral lists this transfer RNA (77 nucleotides) under Ignavibacteriota bacterium. Its description in RNAcentral is "Ignavibacteriae bacterium tRNA-Arg". It matches the Rfam family "tRNA". From Rfam's summary of the family: Transfer RNA (tRNA) molecules are approximately 80 nucleotides in length. Lineage: Bacteria; Pseudomonadati; Ignavibacteriota. The record is from RNAcentral.
GUGCCCGUAGCUCAAUCGGAUAGAGCGAUAGCCUUCUAAGCUAUAGGUUACAGGUUCGAUUCCUGUCGGGCAUACAA